This 403-nucleotide ribosomal RNA is filed under the name uncultured Bacillota bacterium. RNAcentral's name for it is "bacterial SSU rRNA". It matches the Rfam family "Bacterial small subunit ribosomal RNA", at positions 356 to 774 of the family's 1533-position model. Lineage: Bacteria; Bacillati; Bacillota. The record is from RNAcentral.
GGGGAAUAUUGGGCAAUGGGGGAAACCCUGACCCAGCAACGCCGCGUGAAGGAAGAAGGUUUUCGGAUUGUAAACUUCUGUCCUUGGUGAAGAGAAGAAGACGGUAGCCAAGGAGGAAGCCCCGGCUAACUACGUGCCAGCAGCCGCGGUAAUACGUAGGGGGCAAGCGUUGUCCGGAAUGAUUGGGCGUAAAGGGCGCGUAGGCGGCUUUAUAAGUCUGGAGUGAAAGUCCUCUUUUCAAGGGAGGAAUUGCUUUGGAAACUAUAGAGCUUGAGUGCAGGAGAGGUUAUCGGAAUUCCCGGUGUAGCGGUGAAAUGCGUAGAUAUCGGGAGGAACAUCGGUGGCGAAGGCGGGUAACUGGACUGCAACUGACGCUGAGGCGCGAAAGUGUGGGGAGCAAACA